CUCCUACGGGAGGCAGCAGUGGGGAAUAUUGGACAAUGGGGGCAACCCUGAUCCAGCCAUGCCGCGUGAGUGAUGACGGCCUUAGGGUUGUAAAGCUCUUUUCUCCGGGACGAUAAUGACGGUACCGGAGGAAUAAGCCCCGGCUAACUUCGUGCCAGCAGCCGCGGUAAUACGAAGGGGGCUAGCGUUGCUCGGAAUCACUGGGCGUAAAGGGCGCGUAGGCGGCUGAUUUAGUCGAGGGUGAAAGCCCGUGGCUCAACCACGGAAUGGCCUUCGAUACUGAUUGGCUUGAGACCGGAAGAGGACAGCGGAACUGCGAGUGUAGAGGUGAAAUUCGUAGAUAUUCGCAAGAACACCAGUGGCGAAGGCGGCUGUCUGGUCCGGUUCUGACGCUGAGGCGCGAAAGCGUGGGGAGCAAACAGGAUUAGAUACCCUGGUAGUCCACGCUGUAAACGAUGAAUGCUAGCCGUUGGGGUGCAUGCACCUCAGUGGCGCCGCUAACGCUUUAAGCUCUCCGCCUGGGGAGUACGGUCGCAAGAUUAAAACUCAAAGGAAUUGACGG
Molecule: ribosomal RNA, 562 nt
Filed under: uncultured bacterium
Lineage: Bacteria
Description: bacterial SSU rRNA
Rfam family: Bacterial small subunit ribosomal RNA
Source: RNAcentral